CCCCCCUCUCUCUCUCUGAAAGGAAAAAAAAUAAAAUUCAAAGCUAAGCGAGAGAAUUCAUCAGUUUUUGAAAAAAGAUUUAAGAGAAAAAAUCGAUUUUGAUUCGAUCAGUCACCAUCAGAUCCCACCUCCACCAGCGAUUGCCAUGUCCUCAACAACCACUGCUCAAUCCCUUCCUCUCCUCGCCUUUAUUUCCCUCCUUCUCCUCUCUCCUGCUCUCACCUUCGACGCAGAUCACAGGGAUUUAAAUGUUAGGUUGAUUGGUGUUCAUGGAUCGAGUUUUGAUUUUGCAAAUGGCAGUUGAUGCAUUACAAAUGCCGGGUCUCGUCUGGGUUUGCCCGGGUCGCCCGGGUCAUGGGUUGACCCGCCGGGUCGACCGGGUCUUGCCGGUUUUUUACACUUACCGGUCUUUUUCCUAACCCGGACCGGUCCAGCCACCGGGUCGACCGGUUCCCGGGUCGACCCGCCGGGCCGGUCCGGGUUUAAUAACUAUGGUUAAAAGUAUGCUAGAAAGAAAAUGUCAUUUUUUUCGCCUUGGUUCCUGGAAGAUGCUGCCAGCUGCAAUCAAUCAAAGAGGGAGGGACCCCCUGUUUUGAAUUUGAAACCGUAUCUCAUCAUUUCAAAACACACUACAUUUCAUCUUAAAUAAUUAUAAAUAAUAAAUACUUUAAAAAACAAUCUUAUCUAUUCUCAAAUAACCAAUUUCACACCACUCUUCUCUCUAGCCCAUGCUCAAUAUUUUUUCUUUAUUUUCAGACAUCAAUAUUCAUUAAUAGUUUUUUUAAAAUUUAACCAGACAUCCAUAUUCAUUAAUAGUUUUUUUUCAUUAUUAUUUAGCCAUGAGUUUGUAUUUUUCCAUUAAUAGUUUUUUUUUAAUUGGACAUUUAGUAUUUUUCCAUUCUUGGGUCAUUUUUUAUUUGUAAUCUAUAUUAAUUAUUAUUAGAUGCUGAUAAUUGAAUGUUUAGUGAUUUGUGAUAGCCUAAUUACGAGUAGUUGCAUGAGGCUGUAAAGUAUAAAUUCCACAUGAGUGGAGAAAAAUGGUGAAAAUCACUAAAGUUAAUAAUUCAAAAACAAUACCAUUUACCUGAUCAAAAUGAGAUUAGUAUUUAUGAGAUUAUUAAUUAAGAGGUGGUUGUGGGUCAAACUAAAUUCAAACAACUUUUAUAAUUUUGAUGAGAAAUCAAAUGAGAUUGGGUGGGAAAUGCAUGUUAGGCCUUUGCAAGAUGUUCUGUGGGUAAAAAUCUAGUGAUAAAUUUUUAAAAAAAUGUAAAUAAAAA
This is a long non-coding RNA of Populus trichocarpa (black cottonwood), 1277 nucleotides long. RefSeq lists it as uncharacterized. The transcript is spliced from 2 exons. NCBI's taxonomy places the organism in Eukaryota, Viridiplantae, Streptophyta, Magnoliopsida, Malpighiales, Salicaceae. The record is from RefSeq and is a predicted model, not a curated record.